CUACUCCAGUUAUACACGUGGAGCUAACUGCACCAGUAGCUUUUCUGAAGAUACUUGCUGAAAAGGAAGUUUUCUGGAAUGGUAUUCGCUAAGUGGAAGCCAGAAGAAGAGGAAAAUGUUUUGCCACGUGGAUGUGAAGACUUCCUCUAAAAGGUACACAUGGACUAAAUUGCCCUUAAAUGUUCCAAAAUUAGUUCUCAUUUAUUUGCAGUCUCAUUUUGUUUUGUUUUGUUUUUGUUUUUUUUCUCUAUGUAUCAAUCCAUUUGGGAGAGGCCAGCCAUUGGAAGAGCCACCACUUCCAGUGCUAGUUGGAUGGUUGGUUAUGAUUGCCUUCUGUAAAGAAUUCUUGAGGCAUAAAUACGUGUCUAAAUGGACCUCAUAUCUUUGAGAUAAUUAAACUAACUUUCUCUUACCCAUUCGGGAUUAUGCUGAAUUUGUAUGGUUUAUAGUUGUUAGAGUUGGAGGUGUUAAUUCUAAUUAUCUAUUUCAAAUUUAGCAGGAAUAAAGAGAACAUCACCUUGUAAAACUGAAGAUUGUGACCAGUCAGAAUAAUGUCAAAGUGCUUACAGUGCAGGUAGUGAUAUGUGCAUCUACUGCAGUGAAGGCACUUGUAGCAUUAUGGUGACAGUUGCCUCGGGAAGCCAAGUUGGGCUUUAAAGUGCAGGGCCUGCUGCUGUUGAGUGCUUUUUGUUCUAAGGUGCAUCUAGUGCAGAUAGUGAAGUAGAUUAGCAUCUACUGCCCUAAGUGCUCCUUCUGGCAUAAGAAGUUAUGUAUUCAUCCAAUAAUUCAAGUCAAGCAAGUAUAUAGGUGUUUUAAUAGUUUUUGUUUGCAGUCCUCUGUUAGUUUUGCAUAGUUGCACUACAAGAAGAAUGUAGUUGUGCAAAUCUAUGCAAAACUGAUGGUGGCCUGCUAUUUCCUUCAAAUGAAUGAUUUUUACUAAUUUUGUGUACUUUUAUUGUGUCGAUGUAGAAUCUGCCUGGUGUAUCUGAUGUGACAGCUUCUGUAGCACUAAAGUGCUUAUAGUGCAGGUAGUGUUUAGUUAUCUACUGCAUUAUGAGCACUUAAAGUACUGCUAGCUGUAGAACUCCAGCUUCGGCCUGUCGCCCAAUCAAACUGUCCUGUUACUGAACACUGUUCUAUGGUUAGUUUUGCAGGUUUGCAUCCAGCUGUGUGAUAUUCUGCUGUGCAAAUCCAUGCAAAACUGACUGUGGUAGUGAAAAGUCUGUAGAAAAGUAAGGGAAACUCAAACCCCUUUCUACACAGGUUGGGAUCGGUUGCAAUGCUGUGUUUCUCUCUGGUAUUGCACUUGUCCCGGCCUGUUGAGUUUGGUGGGGAUUGUGACCAGAAGAUUUUGAAAAUUAAAUAUUACUGAAGAUUCCGACUUCCACUGUUAAAUGUUCAAGAGAUGUGAAAUAUUAAAGAAAAUGUGUAACUUUUUGUUUAAGUACAUCUUGUUUUCAUCCAAAAACAUUUCACUUUUGGGUUUGCAUGUCAGAUUUGGCAGUAUGAAUUCUGGUUAUAUUUUUUGUUGUUAGAUUUAUUUGGCUGUUAAGUAUUGCGAUGUGACUAAACGUAUUAUAUACAUGAUGAUCAUCUGUAAAGUUAGAAUAUAACUUUUUUGCUCUCUUUGGAGUUAGUGUUAUUCCAGGAUAUUUUACUUAAUCUAAAAGUUAAUCUAUGUUGCUCAUAUAUUACUCAGGUUUUUUAAUUUAGAGAGAAUGCUGCUCUGUUUAAAGCAAUGUGUAAAGAUGGGUUUUUUAAAGCAUGGAAUUUAGGGUGGGUACAGUUUGUUUCUAUUAAGCAGGUUCUACUUUACCAAUACAUGAGUAACUGAUGUGUAAAUGUUAAAUGCUCGUAUACUAGUUUUUCUUUGAUUGUCAGUGAUUUAUAAGCUGUAAAUGACCAAGGUCCUCAGACUGCUUUUAGCAUCUGCAACUUAAAAAAAUGGGAGUUAGAAAAAGAACACACUCAUGCUAAAUAGAGUAACAGAUAAAUGUAUGUGUACACUCUUCCUAAAUGCCAAGAGUGCAGCGGUGGGGCGAGAUUCAGAUACUGAUUUAUUUCUAAGACUGUAGUUAACAUUUAGGUUCCCUGCUCCCUACAUAAACCAGACUUUGGCAACAGUGAUAGUUGAUUCCAGGCUUACUUGACUUAGUCACUGAAGUGGAAACUAAGAAACGGCAGUUAGUGUUUUAUCCAACAUUUCUGCCUUCUCUCUUUUCUUCGUGUGUGUUGUCUCUCACCUAUGUGUAUAUGUGUCAAAAAAUGUGGAAUACCUGAAUAAUAGAUUUAAAAGAACCAAGUGGUAAAAUUGGACCCAAGCCGAAGUACAGGCAAACUUGAUACUUAAAAAAUAAGGUUUGAGAAAUGUCAUUGUAUUUUGGAGUAAAAGAGGCUAUCUUAGUAAUAAGAAAUAAACUUCCAUAACACUAGGUUAGACCACCCAAUAAAUCUAGAAAUUAGCUUUUAAAAAUACUGUGUGAAGUCUAACAAAAGUUUUUACCUCUAAUGUGUUCUUAAAGAAAUUUAAGGAACUUCAUCUUGGAUUCCUGAAUAGAAAGGUAAGAAUUCCAUCAUUCUGGAGUUGAUGAAAAGAUUUGCAGGAUGAAAUGAACAGUGAUUUAUAAAAUGGAAAUCAAAUUGUACAUUAGCAGAGUUCUUAAGCUUUUUGAAUUGAAGGAGACCUAAUAAUUGUGUCUUUUUGGUUAUUUUGGUGACAAACACAGCUUUAAAACUAUGCUUAAAAAGUUGCAGCUGGACACAGUGGCUCACCCCUACAAUCCUAGCACUUUGGGAGACUGAGGCAGGCGAAUUACCAGAGGUCAGGAGUUGGAGACCAACCUGGCCGUCGUGGUCAAACGCUGUCUCUACUAAAAAUAUAAAAAAUUAGCCAGGUGCAGUGGCACGUGCCUGUAAUCCCAGCUAUACUCUGGAGGCUGAGGCAGGAGAAUCACUUGAACUGGGGAGGCGGAGGUUUCAGUGAGCUGAGAUCCUGCCACUGCACUCCAUCCUGGGCGGAAGAGCGAGACUUCGUCUCCAGAAAAAAAAAAAAAAAAUCGUAAUACAGCAUGUUCUGGUAGUUUGCAAAAUGGUGUGCUGUGGUUAUAAGUGAGGAAAGUAUUUUGUUUUACAUUUGUCAGACUAUGUCAUUUUACUUCAAAGCUUUUGGGGAAAUACACUGGCAAUUUUUUAAAAAAUGGAACAGUGUGAUAGGAAGCCUGCUUCAUGAUUCCUUAAAUAGUCUAAAAUGUAGUCAAAUAUGUUACAAUAACAAAGACUUAAAUGGCUUUUCUCCCUAGAUACUGAAACUGUAGUAUUCAUCGUGUUCAGAACUUACUUGGGCUUGAACUGAGAUUUAAAUCUAAUCAGCAAGUUAAUAAAUGUGUAUGUUUUGUUGUGGGAUUGGUAGUGAUCAGUGGUUUUAUAGAGUUUAAUAGGAAUUGCUUUUGAUUUGUUUCUGGCUUUAGAAUGUGAGUCUAAUUUUACAUUCUUGGUUCUAUUAAGAUUUUCUUAGGAAUGCCAACAAAAAGCCAUGUAAGUAUUGUAUAAAAAGAUUCACAUUAUUAAUUUACCCAUUUUGAAAUUCAGAUGAGUGAACAAGUUAAUAAUGGCCUUAUCUCUGACCUGAGAAAAAACAGUUUUGACUCUUGUUCUUAAAAUGCUUUAACCUUGAAGUUGCUUGAUACUUAAGAGGUCAUGUUGCUUCAGGUUUAAUAGAUAGCCUUAACUAUUUGGAGGGGAAAAAAAUGGGUCAACUUUUUUUUUUUUUUUUUUUUUUUGGCUUUUGCAUGUACAACUUUCUAUUUUUAGCCUAUAUUUGGAAAGAAAGCACUUAACAUUUUAGGAAUUCUUUUUAAAGCUGCUUGCAAAGUAUUGGUGAUUUUACUGAAAACUUUUGAGAUCUUCAUUUUACAGGCAAACCUAACUACAAGCCAGACUUGGGUUUUCUCCUGUAGUUUGAAGACACACUGACUCCUGACAAUGCAACCUGCAACUUCUGGAGAACAACUCAGUGUCACAUUAAAGUUUAUUAUGUAUUUGAUGAUACACUGUUGAAUUGAUACUUCUGCAUAGUUUGUCUAGCUUUAGAGAAUUAAGAGUCUCAACUGAGCAGUAAAGGUAAGGAGAGCUUAAUACACACGGAGCCAGGCUUUGGUGUUUGGUGGAAAUAAGAUCAUCAUGCCCACUUGAGAUUUCAGAUGAUUAUUCAGCUUAGUGGUUGUGUGAGUUACAUUCUUACUAAAGUCGAAAUUAAUGUAGUUUUCGGCCUUGAUAAAUUAAAUUCCAUAUGUGGUAUUUUAAAGGGUCAUUAGGAAAAUGCACAUAUUCCAUAAAUAAGACCCAUAGAAAAGUUGAAGAAUGCUUAAUUUUCUUUAUCCAAUAAUGUAAACACAGACACAACAUUGAGAUGUGCCUAAUUCUGUAUUUACAGUUUGGUCUGGCUGUUGGAGUUGUAGUGCAUUUAAUGUUAAUAAAUAAAAUACUGCAUUUUAAAGCUGUUAAGAAAUUGUCUGGAACGAGCAUAUUGAAAUAAAAACUUCAAGGUUAUUAUC
Piliocolobus tephrosceles (Ugandan red Colobus) is the source of this 4553-nucleotide long non-coding RNA. RefSeq lists it as uncharacterized. The record is from RefSeq and is a predicted model, not a curated record. The transcript is spliced from 2 exons. NCBI's taxonomy places the organism in Eukaryota, Metazoa, Chordata, Mammalia, Primates, Cercopithecidae.